CCUGGCUCAGGAUGAACGCUGGCGGCGUGCUUAACACAUGCAAGUCGAACGGUGAAGCCCAGCUUGCUGGGUGGAUCAGUGGCGAACGGGUGAGUAACACGUGAGCAACCUGCCCUGGACUCUGGGAUAAGCGCUGGAAACGGCGUCUAAUACUGGAUAUGAACCACGAAGGCAUCUUCAGUGGUUGGAAAGAUUUUUCGGUCUGGGAUGGGCUCGCGGCCUAUCAGCUUGUUGGUGAGGUAAUGGCUCACCAAGGCGUCGACGGGUAGCCGGCCUGAGAGGGUGACCGGCCACACUGGGACUGAGACACGGCCCAGACUCCUACGGGAGGCAGCAGUGGGGAAUAUUGCACAAUGGGCGGAAGCCUGAUGCAGCAACGCCGCGUGAGGGAUGACGGCCUUCGGGUUGUAAACCUCUUUUAGCAAGGAAGAAGCUUUUGUGACGGUACUUGCAGAAAAAGCCCGGCUAA
Molecule: ribosomal RNA, 469 nt
Filed under: Microbacterium sp. R1_6
Lineage: Bacteria; Bacillati; Actinomycetota; Actinomycetes; Micrococcales; Microbacteriaceae
Description: bacterial SSU rRNA
Rfam family: Bacterial small subunit ribosomal RNA
Source: RNAcentral